UGAAGAUCUUCUGCUAGCAGGAGGAUUGACAGUCUUGCACUGUACGCACCAUACAUUGCGGCUAUCCUGGUGAAGUGCGCACUAAUAGUAGUCUUACUUGAAACUUUACUUUGGAAGUGGAUCGCUUUUGGAUUCUUAACAAGUCGGGACCAUCCAGUAUGAAGUGCGACCUACGGACAGCUGACUCAUCUGGAAUGCUGUUCUCGGAGGACAAGGAAACUGAGUGCACUUACCUUCCCGUUGUCAAGGGGAAAACAUCAUCUUUCAAAGCACUUUUACUUUUUGUGAGACCUUGACAACUCAAAUCAGAGGACAGUUUCUGGAGACUGAGAAAAGGGGGUUAUCUGGGCAGCACUAAGCAAGUCCUAGCACCCAGGAGUUUUGGGACAAGGAGGACAAUGACCUGAUGAAGGUUACAGAGACAUGAAUCAUGGCAUAGCAGGAAGUGGGAAGGAUUUUAUAUAUUGAGAUGAUAUGGAAAUAUGGAAGAAGCCCAAAUGAUGUGCAAAGUGUGUGGGUUCUGCUACUCAUGGAGUUCCUACACAAGUCAGCAUAGAAGUGCCUACUGAUGUAAGAAGUACCAUGACAGGUCAGUUCUCUGUUUUAGCGGCAUGAAGUACCAUUUCAUUUGUAUAUAUCAAGAAAACAAUCUUACAAGUACCUUAAAAAAAACUACCCAAAGAAAAAUGCACUUUUUCAAAUGGAAGAAUUAAUAUGUGAUAUCACCGGCAAAAUUUUGGAAUCCCCGUGGUGCACUGCUAGCUGAGUCCCUAAGCAGGGUGGGCGUGGCUGUGCGACCCCCCAGGCCUGGGUCGCAAUGGGGCCAUGGAUGGUAUUGAGCACCUGCGCGGCUUGUGAGAGCAAGCCGACCUCCUGCAUUCCAAAAAUCCAGUCUGGACAGCUCUGGAGCUACAGGGCUCUGGCCUGGGAGAAGAAUUUGAGGCAUUGUGCCCUUGCAGGGUCUCUGAGUCGCAACAGACCCAACAGACGCCCGUAGGAGCUGAAGAAGGAGUUUCAAAAACAUACACAUGCAAACACAAACAGAGUCACCAAAAACUCACCUCAUAGCUCAACGCCCACUUGACAAACACUAACAAACUCUCACACGGCAGAGAAAAAAAAUCAUGUAAGUUUCUCCAUGAGCAAGUGUUUCCAGGAGACUCAACCAAACAGUCAUCAGGAGGAUGACUGAUGUAAUGGCAGAUUUAGUCAGUUUUGAUCGUUUUAACUAUUCACUUUAUUAAUUGUGCCAGGCAAUUUAUCUUGAAGCUCACAGACUUUCCGAAUCGUUCAGUGAGCUGUCGCUCCUGCAUAAUUUACUGGACAUCAAACACAUGUCCAGGCUAAAAUACAUGUACAGAAUGUACAGAGACUCAUAAAAGUCGCCUGGAGAGAAUCUGUGACUUAACUAAAAACAGGAACUGUGGAUAAGUAGCCCACUCUUAGGCACGUCGGCCGAGAUGGGGUAGAGUAGUGGUUUCUAAAAUACCAAUGAAAAAAUUGCAUCUGCUAAGAUGUUUAUGCAUCUCAAAAUUAAGGGAAACUGCUUAUUGAUUAAAGGGUGAAUUUAUCCAGGGUCCUCUUCAUUAGCCAAAUUAUAAAGUCAUUUUUAAUAAUCUUCCAAGAAUUAUCGGAGAAGUAAGGUGAAACAGAAUUCAUUUGUAUUGGCAACAGAAAUCAGCAUUGAUGGCAGGCUGGUCUUCUGGAAACCUAACAGGUGCCAGCAGUACUGGGGAUGAGCAGAGAGCUCAGUGGAGAAGCAACAAAGGGCACGGAAUGGGGUCAAAGUUGGAGAACCAGCAGCCACGCUCCACUACGCCGGCCGUCCACGCGAGAGGGAAGACGGCGCCGCAGGAGGAGCUUCUGCACAGACGGCGUUGCUCAAAUGGAACCCUUUUAAACCUCAAAUUUUGGCCAAACUCAAAUCUAAUCUGGGUUUCAUUCAAUAGACAUUUGCAACCUAUCAACCUCUUAAAAGCUCUGACGAAAGGGAGACAGGCCAUAUGCCUUAUGGUGUUAAAACACCUUUCUGAUAAGAGAAGAUAUCUUACCUCAAUAAACACUUACAUAACCAACCCCUACAUUAUUCACAUAUUAAAAGAGGCAGUUCCACAGUUUUAUUUCAUAAAUGAAUGGAUGAAAACUUACAGUAUGACUUAGAAAUACAUGCUAAAUUUCUGUUUUCCAGUCUGGAUGUACAAUGUAGCAUCUGACAUCCUACAGCAGCACAUCUGCUAAGAAACACUGGAGAAACUCUGGAACCUUCCAUGACUGCAGCACUGGCAGAUUAAAGUCCACCAAGCUAAGUACCAACCUGCAUGAAAUAACUCAUCUGCUCCUUCGUGAGCUCAGUUCCGCUCUAUAGGAAGAGUCCAGCUAGAUACCUUGAACUGCAAAUCUUGCCAGUGAUAAAAAGAGAGAGAUGACUGACUUAGAGCUGUCUGGGAAGAGCUUUCCUUGUGGGUUUCACCUGGACUCUGUUGUGCAGUUACCUGCCACUCUCUGAAUUUCUCUUCAAGUCCUCCGCCAAAGUUGAGGAGAAACCAUUACUCACUGAAUCUGUUUUCUCAGGACGAGGCAUGAAGGACACGGAAAUAACCCUCAAAGAGAUUGUCAGAAAUGAUAUGAUCGCUUUUGAGUUCCCCCUAAACAAACACGGGGCAAAUUGGGGCCGAGUUGCGGCAGAGAAAAUGUGCCGUAGAAAUGUUGAAAGGUCGUCACUACUUGGUAACGACAACGGUUUGCUCUCUGCCGCCUGCCAGCAUGUUCACAUGUAAUCACACAUGUCGCGAUGGAACAAAUAGGGCCUUAACUGAUCUGGCAAUUGGUCCUAAAUGAUCCUUUUUGUUGAAUGCGGAUUUAUUACCCUGAUGUUAUCGCACCGAAGGGGGAGUCUGAGAGUUACGAGAGCCGCACUCCCAAAUAUCUGCCUGUCUGUGACUUCAUGAGAAAGACCACGAAAGUACAGCACAUAUGUGUCAUGGACAGAUUCAUCGAUAGCCAAUUCCGUUUUCACACGUGAAAAUUGUUUUUCAAGAGGGAGAUGCAAAUCAGAAUGGCGCUACAGCCUCAAUACUGUGGGGCCUCCUUUACCUGGACUCAACAACUUCUUGCCAGAAUGUUCUUCCAACCAAUGUUUCCUGAUUAAUUAAACGUUCCCAUCACCUUGAGGGAGCCUCCCCGCCGGCCCCCGGGACCUGGGUGCGGUCUCAUGAUGAGCGCUACACAGGAAACACAAUAAGCAGCCAUCCUGAACUAAAUUAAAUUAGGGGGUGUCGGCUGGGGGGGAGGUGGGGGUGACCGCACAAAGCAAACAGAAAGGCACCUGCACACGCAGAAGAACAAACAUUUUAUCAUUACAGCCACCAUUUCUCAAAAAAUGCACGCUGAGUCAACCGUAAGUUAUGGGUCACAUGACUAGACUGUGGUCUUUUCACCCCUGAGGCCCCCCCUUUUGCAAAUGGCUCCCUCUCCGGCCACUUCCAGGAGACCGUACGGCUCCGGUUUCAACCUGACAGGGUGCGCACUGCUGCCGGCCGGCCCUGUCGCCGUCACUCUCACUCCCACCCGUCUGCCACCCGGCCUGCGGUCAACGCGCCGUGCCCCAUUCUGACAUUUUAGCAGGCGGGCUGCAGAAGAUUGAUGACGAGCCACUGAAGUUUCCACUGACAUCAGUACAGACAUCAGGAGAGACCUUAACUCUGCACUCAGUCCUUCGAAUGAAUGAUCUGGGGAAGCAGAAUGUCAAAGGCAAUGAAUGUACUCAGCACGCAGGAGCGUGUGUGCAGCUUCUUUUGGACAAGCCGAGGAUUAUGGGAAAUGGCCUCACACAAAUAACAUCCCACGAUGCUACAGUAUCAUGUAAGAACACAUUCCAACUGGCCAGGGUAGAAAAUUGCAUUACAUUGUACGUAAAUACAAAGUACUUUAUGAAAAAUAUUAAAUAAAGGAGUCUUACAUUUAUGUACAAUAAAUUCUAUGUAUUUUUACAGUGGACUGAUAAAUAUAUAAUAGGAUUUAGGAUUAGUGUAGGUUUAGAUUACAGGGCAUAAAACCUUCUGGUGUUUUCUCUUAGACACUUAAAGUGUAACACACUGAAGACAUAUUUAGUCUUGACAACCAACUGUUAGCCAGCAAGGAGUUUCAUAAUCGACCAGGGCAUGCUCCAUUUCCUCCCCUGUGCAGCUCCAGCCCGUCUUCCUGUCGUUUCAGUGUCUCGCUGCACACAAACAGCGAACAAUAACCCGCUAAUGUCUGGUGCAGUGGAACAGCGUGUUCCAGCACAGCCAAACAAACAGCGUGAACGGGCCAUUCUCAGACUGCCGCGCUGUGGGGGGGUAUUGGGGGGGUGGUGAGUGAGGCUUCUGAUACGCUGUUCCCCAACAUCCGCUAAACACGGGCGCUGGCGCUGUGGAAACCACUGCAUUCAGUAACCGUGUAGCCACCCGUGAUCGCAGCAUGACCGGAGUGCCGCUAGCUUCAGACGGCAGCCAUGCCGAUCAGACAAGGACAUCCUGAUGACGGGUGAAGCGCGGACAGGAGGGAGGGGGAUGUUGCCUCACACGUGCACACCAGCCCAAGGAUUUAAUCUGAUGCAGCGGGUACUGCUGGACGUCAGGGAGGGACGGUGUCAGUUUCCACGUAAAGCCUCUGUUACCAUGCCAGCAUCCGAUGUGCUUGCACAGAUGUUACCGACUGCUGCAGAAAUAGCCCAGGUGCACCAUGUGACCCAGCAAGUGCCACGGACUCUGCGGUACGGCGGGAAGGCAUCCGAAGUGCCCGCGCACAAUGAGUCACACUUUCUGGGCCCUCCUCCCCUGCUGCCUGGCAUCGAAACGUCCUGCCCUCUCCUCAUCUGUCAUGCUCACACUUCAACUCUCACCUCUUUCUUCCCUGUCGCCGUCGCUCCGUUUGAUCCGUACCAGCCAGAGCUCUGGGCCACAUCCGCGAGUGACUGAGGAGUGGCUCCGAAACACCACAGCCCCACGGACGAAGGCUGCCAAAAUCACAUAAUCACAAUGACCAGCAGACCUGCGCCUCGGAAUGAUUACGAGAGAAACCAGAAGCAGCGGAGCGCACGCCACGCCUGACUCCCGCAGGUGGCAGCCCGCCAUCAGCCAGUGCCACCCGGGCACGGAUUAUAAAACAGGAGCUUGGCUCAAGGACCAAGUCAAGGCAGGGACAGAAAGAUCGAGCCUCCAGACUGGAGCGAUAACCCAUGUGCACACCAGAGCAAAGCGUUUCCACUGACCGUGAAUAAAGAUACGCUGUUUUCACGUUUUCGUGCUUCACACAGGCUGACCUUUCACAGAGUCCUGAGUACAAAUGCAAAUAUCUGCCCACUGUGUUCAGUCUGAUCAUAACGAAGGAAGGAAAGAUCAGUGCCAAAACCGUGAGGAAAUCACUCCAUAAAAGAGACAAUUGUGCACAAAAAUAUGAGAAGGACGAUUACUUAUUUAGAACAGGGAAAAAUCAGUGUUCUGGGGCAAAAGAAUAUGAUUUUAUCAGUUAGCAGCUUGACUUUUAAAACCUUUGUAUAAACUGGAAAGAAUUUAAAUCUUUUGAAGAAUGUGGAUUUAUUUUAGCACUGACCAUCUGAAUCCACAGUCUGGUUUAGGUAUGUUUGAUGUUGUGGGAAACAUGGACAACACCUCAGUUUUAGGGUAAGUGAGGUAGGGUCAGGCAUUCCCCCAAGGAUGGGAUUGGAUUGGUAGCCCCCCCAGGGUUAAGUGGGAGUGGGGGGGGGGGGCUUUAACACCAGAGAUCCUGGGCCGACACAAAGUUUGCCAUGGUGAUAGCAGGAGGCAGGAAGUGCAGGGAGACAUUCUUGGGGGGGGACAAGGACAGAGGUGGAAACUGCCGGGGAUAAGGAGAGAGUUCCGGCCUGGUCUCUGAGGAAUCAGGCCCCUACUCAGGCCAAGCUAAAUACCCCACAUAUGAGGAGCAAGAGAGAGAGAGAAGAGAAAGCUGGGGGGGGGGGGAGAGAAAAUGUUCCCAGACCCAGAAACAUGCCCUCUGUCUGCUGUGCCGGGGACCACAGAAGCCCACAUUCAUGCCUCUCCUGAGAACUUGUCACAAUAAACUGGAUUCUUCAAUACAGAGAUGUCAAACAGCUGGCCAGAAGAAACGGCCACUCGUGUUCCCCCUCUGCCCUCCCAAUAAACUCCCACAAUGCACUCUGUCAGGCGCGGUACCCACACGAGAAAUGGCUCCUGAGCUGCUGCUCGCUCAGUGGCUGAAGCCAACGGCAAGCGAUAGACGGGUGGCGGGAAAGUUCUCGAGAGAGAGAGAGAGAGAGAGAGAGAGGACGAAAAACCAGAAAGGCAGGAUCCAGCAUGUCGGUUUAUCAGGCAUAUAAUGGCUGAACUUUGCUUUCCCUGACUGAGAGGCUCCAGCCCAGUGACUCCUGUUCGCUCCACACAUUCUUACAGCUGCUGCCUCUCAUGCCUUUUCCUGGUGGCUUUUACCGUGUCCUCUUUGGAUCUGGGCUCACCUAUAGGUCUCUGGCUCUCCUAACUGCUCACCUGCUGCUAAGACCGCCGCUGCUGUGCUGUGCCUAAACGUCUGCUCAUUUUGUGACAUCUACUGCUGGAGAGGGGCGGGUCUGCAGCCACUGUUAUAUCAGGGACAGGUUCAGGUGUCACCUGGCAACCAGGAUAAUCAAGCAGCCAAAUGGCCUCAUCAGCCGACUCAGCGUCUGUCAGUCUUACACUGUCAUAACAUGUGGGAUGGGAUGCAUUUUAUGGAUGUAAUUUCCAUACACUUGAGUCGGGCCGACCAGCAUGACCAGCCGUUCGGCACGACUGGCACGCCGAAGUGGGCGCGGAGCCAGCUCUCUGCUCCGCAAACACUGGCAGAAUUGCUGAGUUAACAAGGCUGGGGACAUUGGGCUUUCUUUUCCUCACAAAUGACUCGGUCUCUAAGAGCAAUGAACAGACCGAAGAAGGGAGCAUUAGGCAGCGAGAGGUGACGUAACGAGAGAGAGUCGAGGCAGGACUUUGAACAAAUGUCUAUAUCACCGUGAAACCAGCAAUGCAGAGGCAACGGCACAGAUCAGCUGCUGCACAUAACAUUUAUACAUUUAAUCGUACCCUUGCCCCCCACUCAGUGAAGCUUCUGUUCCAAUAUCGCUUGUCUUCUGCCUUGUGAACAAAAACAGUUUAAAAAUAAAAAAAGGAAAAAAAAAACUGACCUAUGACCUCUUUUAUAAGAAGCCGUUUCUAAUUUAGCCGUGGAAUGGAAUCACGGUCCACUGAGGCGAGGAUGACAAAUUUUGGUUUGAUGCUUUUACUGGCUAAAAAUGUAAACAAUGACAUCAGUCAGCUGAGUGCAGGAGUCGGGAUUAGACAGGUAAGGACCUGCCGGAGUGCGGGACGCCAGCAGGGAAUGUCGCUCGCCUGUCGCAGCCCCCACAGGCUGCUCUGAAGGAUGCAUGGCCCCCUGCCCUCUUUUAGGGUGGGACAGCGCCAGUGACUCACUCUCAGCUCAAAGCGCACAUUUAAUCCCGGAGAAAACAC
Long non-coding RNA from Paramormyrops kingsleyae, 7517 nucleotides. RefSeq lists it as uncharacterized. The record is from RefSeq and is a predicted model, not a curated record. NCBI's taxonomy places the organism in Eukaryota, Metazoa, Chordata, Actinopteri, Osteoglossiformes, Mormyridae.